UACGGAAGGCAGCAGUGGGGAAUAUUGCACAAUGGGCGCAAGCCUGAUGCAGCCAUGCCGCGUGUAUGAAGAAGGCCUUCGGGUUGUAAAGUACUUUCAGUCGUGAGGAAGGUGUUAAGGUUAAUAACCUUAGCAAUUGACGUUAGCGACAGAAGAAGCACCGGCUAACUCCGUGCCAGCAGCCGCGGUAAUACGGAGGGUGCGAGCGUUAAUCGGAAUUACUGGGCGUAAAGGGCACGCAGGCGGUUAAUUAAGUUGGAUGUGAAAUCCCCGGGCUUAACCUGGGAAUGGCAUUCAAGACUGGUUAGCUAGAGUCUUGUAGAGGGGGUAGAAUUCCAUGUGUAGCGGUGAAAUGCGUAGAGAUGUGGAGGAAUACCGGUGGCGAAGGCGGGCCCCCUGGACAAAAGGACUGACGCUCAUGUGCGAAAGCGUGGGGAGGCAAACAGGAUUAGAUACC
This 457-nucleotide ribosomal RNA is filed under the name uncultured bacterium. Its description in RNAcentral is "bacterial SSU rRNA". It matches the Rfam family "Bacterial small subunit ribosomal RNA", at positions 340 to 786 of the family's 1533-position model. The record is from RNAcentral.